RNAcentral lists this small RNA (500 nucleotides) under Pan troglodytes (chimpanzee). Its description in RNAcentral is "processed transcript". The record is from RNAcentral. Lineage: Eukaryota; Metazoa; Chordata; Mammalia; Primates; Hominidae.
AACGGCCUGGCGACGGUUUCCCUGCUGCUGCAGCCCCCGUCGGCUCCUCUUUUCCAGUCCUCCCUGCCGGGGCUGGGCCCGGCCGCGGGAAGGACCGAAGGGGAUACAGCGUGUCCCUACGGCGGCUGCAAGAGGACUAAGCAUGGAUGGCAGCCGGAGAGUCAGAGCAACCUCUGUCCUUCCCAGAUAUGGUCCACCGUGCCUAUUUAAAGGACACUUGAGCACCAAAAGUAAUGCUUUUUGCACUGACUCCUCUUCUCUCAGACUAAGCACUCUCCAGCUGGUCAAGAAUCACAUGGCUGUUCACUAUAAUAAAAUCCUUUCAGCCAAAGCUGCAGUAGACUGCUCAGUUCCAGUAAGCAUGAGUACCAGCAUAAAGUGUCUGCCGUAGUUUGCUGGAGGUCCACUCCAGACCCUGUUUGCCUAGGUAUCACCAGCGGAGGCUGCAGAACAGCAAAGAUUGCUGCCUGUUUUUCCUUCAGGAAGCUUCGUCCCAGAGG